Ornithorhynchus anatinus (platypus) is the source of this 565-nucleotide long non-coding RNA. RefSeq lists it as uncharacterized. The transcript is spliced from 2 exons. Lineage: Eukaryota; Metazoa; Chordata; Mammalia; Monotremata; Ornithorhynchidae. The record is from RefSeq and is a predicted model, not a curated record.
UCCCCCCUAACAGUCACCUGGUUGUUUCCAUCAACAGGAUUUCACUGAAUACUGGAGGCUCCUUGGGACGAGAGGCGGAAGAGGACCCAGCAAAAGAGGGCGAGGCCGAAGGAAGAAAGCCAGAAGAGACCCGGAUCUGUCACGCUGAGCUUAGACGAUGCUUGGAAACACGCAGUUCAAAUGGAAUACGUGAUCCUGUCCUAAGGGGAGAAGCAAGCGAGCAAGCAAACAGACUCGAACGUACAAUGGGAAAACAUCGAUGAUAAUUACGGCAUUUAUUAAGCGCUCACUAGGCGUGUAGGUGCAAGACUUUGAGGGCAACGCGGUUCCCAUUUCCCAGAAGGCCAACGAUCUCUCCGAGGCCGAGGGAGGUUGAGCGACUUGCCCAAGGUCGCGCAGCCGGCCGUGGGCAGGACCGGGGCUCAGACACGUGACUCCUUCCAGUCCCGUGUUCUUUCCUUUAGAGCACACUGCCUCCCGCACUGGGAGGGACGUGAGAGAUAAUGGGAUACCACCGGGAACGAUGAAAGUAAGUGAAAAAAGAAUAAACGAAAGGAAUGGACAA